UGGAGCAUCCAGAGGGAAUCGAACCCUCAACCUCAGUUUGGAAGACUGUAAUUUUCCCGUUUAAACUAUGGAUGC
RNAcentral lists this transfer RNA (75 nucleotides) under Citrobacter phage Moogle. RNAcentral's name for it is "tRNA-Gly". Lineage: Duplodnaviria; Heunggongvirae; Uroviricota; Caudoviricetes; Andersonviridae. The record is from RNAcentral. RNAcentral also lists the same sequence under 4 other names.